GGUCCUUCAGUGCCACGGAAAACCCGGACCGCCUCUGGGCAUUCGAAUCAGGCCCCUCAGUUCCUAAAGCCGGCCCUGCUGGACUGUUCGCUGAGCAAAAUCACAUCCUGCUGCCGCAGCUACAGAUAAGGUCCAGUUCUGCAGCAGCCCAUUGACUUCAGUGUUGACUGGAAAAGAAUGCCGUCUGCUGAAUUACCAACACUAAUUCCUCCUGCUACCAAGUCUUCCACAGUGAUUUGACCUGGCAUGAUGUUGCUUAGCUUGUGAGAUCUGACAGAUCACAGCACAAGAAUUCAAGAAUAGUCCAGAAGGAAGACAGGCAGUCCUUAAGAAAGAAGUAUGAAAUAAAAAAGUUUACCAACCUGAAGAUCCUGCAUGUUCAGUCAUGUUCCUGUCAUCAUCGUCAACGCAGCUUCCUCCUGAGAAGGAACACUACUAUUGAUGUUUCAUGUGGGCAAACAGGCCUUGCAUUUCUUUGUUGCACUGUUUGCAUUUUGCAUGCAUGUCUU
Mauremys reevesii (Reeves's turtle) is the source of this 509-nucleotide long non-coding RNA. RefSeq lists it as uncharacterized. The record is from RefSeq and is a predicted model, not a curated record. NCBI's taxonomy places the organism in Eukaryota, Metazoa, Chordata, Testudines, Geoemydidae. The transcript has 3 exons.